RNAcentral lists this ribosomal RNA (843 nucleotides) under uncultured Actinomycetes bacterium. RNAcentral describes it as "bacterial SSU rRNA". It matches the Rfam family "Bacterial small subunit ribosomal RNA", at positions 28 to 896 of the family's 1533-position model. The record is from RNAcentral. Lineage: Bacteria; Bacillati; Actinomycetota; Actinomycetes.
GACAAACGCUGGCGGCGUGCCUAAAACAUGCAAGUCGUACGAGCCGAGCAAUCGGCUAGUGGCGGACGGCUGAGUAACACGUAGGUAACCUACCCUUGAGUGGGGAAUAACUCCGCGAAAGCGGUGCUAAUACCGCAUACGACCGUAUGCCCCUGGGUGUACGAGGAAAGUCGCAAGGCGCUCGAGGAGGGGCCUGCGUCCGAUUAGCUUGUUGGUGAGGUAAUGGCUCACCAAGGCGACGAUCGGUAGCUGGUCUGAGAGGAUGAUCAGCCAGACUGGGACUGCGACACGGCCCAGACUCCUACGGGAGGCAGCAGUUAGGAAUCUUGGGCAAUGGGCGAAAGCCUGACCCAGCAACGCCGCGUGGGUGAUGAAGGCCUUCGGGUCGUAAAGCCCUUUUGCACGGGAAGAUAAUGACGGUACCGUGCGAAUAAGCCCCGGCUAACUACGUGCCAGCAGCCGCGGUAAUACGUAGGGGGCGAGCGUUGUCCGGAUUUAUUGGGCGUAAAAGGCUUGUAGGUGGCCACGCCAAGUCGGAUGUGAAAUCUCCCGGCUCAACUGGGAGGGGUCAUUCGAUACUGGCGGGCUCGAGGCCGGUAGGGGGAAGUGGAAUUCCCGGUGUAGUGGUGGAAUGCGUAGAUAUCGGGAGGAACACCAGAGGCGAAGGCGGCUUCCUGGACCGGUUCUGACACUGAGGAGCGAAAGCGUGGGGAGCGAUCCGGAUUAGAUACCCGGGUAGUCCACGCCGUAAACGUUGGGCACUAGGUGUCGGGGGUAUCGACCCCUCCGGUGCCGCAGCUAACGCAUUAAGUGCCCUGCCUGGGGAGUACGGCCGCAAGGCUA